CCCUUAGAUGUUCUGGGCUGCACGCGCGCUACACUGAUGCACUCAACGAGUUUACGACCUUGCCCGAUAGGGUUGGGUAAUCUUUUUAAAAUGCAUCGUGAUGGGGAUAGAUUAUUGCAAUUAUUAAUCUUCAACGAGGAAUUCCUAGUAAGCGCGAGUCAUCAGCUUGCGUUGAUUACGUCCCUGCCCAUUGUACACACCGCCCGUCGCUCCUACCGAUUGAAUGGUCCGGUGAAGCGUUUGGACUAUGGUUUUCUGACGGUUCGCCAUUGGAUUACCGUGGGAAAUUCGUUAAACCUUAUCAUUUAGAGGAAGGAGAAGUCGUAACA
Molecule: ribosomal RNA, 329 nt
Filed under: uncultured eukaryote
Lineage: Eukaryota
Description: partial 18S ribosomal RNA
Rfam family: Eukaryotic small subunit ribosomal RNA
Source: RNAcentral